This 345-nucleotide ribosomal RNA is filed under the name Triticum aestivum (bread wheat). RNAcentral's name for it is "partial small subunit ribosomal RNA". Lineage: Eukaryota; Viridiplantae; Streptophyta; Magnoliopsida; Poales; Poaceae. The record is from RNAcentral.
AUGUGGCACAACACCGGCAAUACCUUGCUGGUGAUGGUCAACGGCCGGCAGACGGGCAGCAAAAAGGUUCUGGUACUGCACACCAACAAGAACUUCGACCAGCAGAGGACCAACUGGGCGAUGCACCAGUACCACCUCGGGGACAUGGAGCAAGAGAAGGAGCGGGAGCUGGUCCUCUGCAAGAUUUUCUACCAAACGAACACUAGGGCCAGGAGUAAAAAGAUUAUAAGUUGGUUUGGUAUUGGUACUUGUACUACAUUGUCAUCCGCAAGUUGGUCGAGCAAGUUUCAACUGGGCUGUAGACUGCCCAGGCUUGGUUUUGUUUUUAACAGGCCCAGCUCAUGA